RNAcentral lists this ribosomal RNA (649 nucleotides) under uncultured bacterium. RNAcentral describes it as "bacterial SSU rRNA". It matches the Rfam family "Bacterial small subunit ribosomal RNA", at positions 8 to 645 of the family's 1533-position model. The record is from RNAcentral.
AGAGUUUGAUCCUGGCUCAGAACGAACGCUGGCGGCAGGCUUCAUACAUGCAAGUCGAGCGCGAAAGCUCCUUCGGGAGUGAUUAGAGCGGCGAACGGGUGAGUAACAGGUGGACAACCUGCCUUCGGGUGGGGGAUAACGGUUGGAAACGGCCGCUAAUACCGCAUACGGUUGCUCUGCUUCGGCAGAGUAAGUAAAGGAGCUAUUGCUCCGCCGGAAGAUGGGUCCGCCUCCCAUUAGCUUGUUGGUGAGAUAACAGCUCACCAAGGCGACGAUGGGUAGCCGAACUGAGAGGUUGAUCGGCCACACUGGAACUGAGAUACGGUCCAGACACCUACGGGUGGCAGCAGUAGGGAAUAUUGCGCAAUGGGCGAAAGCCUGACGCAGCCAUGCCGCGUGGAUGAUGAAGGCCUUCGGGUCGUAAAGUCCUUUUCUGAGGGAAGAACAUCCAGGGGAGUGGAAAGCCCCUGGCCUGACGGUACCUCAGGAAUAAGCAACGGCUAACUCCGUGCCAGCAGCCGCGGUAAUACGGAGGUUGCAAGCGUUGUUCGGAAUUACUGGGCGUAAAGGGAGCGCAGGCGGCCAGGUCAGUCUGAAGUGAAAGCCCGGGGCUCAACCCCGGAAUGGCUUUGGAUACUGCCCGGCUUGA